RNAcentral lists this ribosomal RNA (372 nucleotides) under uncultured organism. RNAcentral describes it as "bacterial SSU rRNA". It matches the Rfam family "Bacterial small subunit ribosomal RNA", at positions 526 to 896 of the family's 1533-position model. The record is from RNAcentral.
CAGAGACUGCAAGCGUUAUUCGGAUUCACUGGGCGUAAAGGGUGCGCAGGCGGUUGGGUGUGUCAGAUGUGAAAUCCCGAGGCUUAACCUCGGAACUGCGUCUGAAACUACUCGACUAGAGUAUUGGAGUGGGUAACGGAAUUCACGGUGUAGCAGUGAAAUGCGUAGAUAUCGUGAGGAACACCAGAGGCGAAGGCGGUUACCUGGACAAUUACUGACGCUCAGGCACGAAAGCAUGGGGAGCAAAAGGGAUUAGAUACCCCUGUAGUCCAUGCCCUAAACGGUGCACACUAGGUCUUAGCGGAUUCGACCCCACUAGGGCCCAAGCUAACGCGUUAAGUGUGCCGCCUGAGGACUACGGUCGCAAGACUA